Molecule: ribosomal RNA, 465 nt
Filed under: Vreelandella stevensii
Lineage: Bacteria; Pseudomonadati; Pseudomonadota; Gammaproteobacteria; Oceanospirillales; Halomonadaceae
Description: partial 16S ribosomal RNA
Rfam family: Bacterial small subunit ribosomal RNA
Source: RNAcentral
CCUACGGGGGGCAGCAGUGGGGAAUAGUGGACAAUGGGGGCAACCCUGAUCCAGCCAUGCCGCGUGUGUGAAGAAGGCCCUCGGGUUGUAAAGCACUUUCAGUGAGGAAGAACGCCUGGUGGUUAAUACCCAUCAGGAAAGACAUCACUCACAGAAGAAGCACCGGCUAACUCCGUGCCAGCAGCCGCGGUAAUACGGAGGGUGCGAGCGUUAAUCGGAAUUACUGGGCGUAAAGCGCGCGUAGGUGGCUUGAUAAGCCGGUUGUGAAAGCCCCGGGCUCAACCUGGGAACGGCAUCCGGAACUGUCAAGCUAGAGUGCAGGAGAGGAAGGUAGAAUUCCCGGUGUAGCGGUGAAAUGCGUAGAGAUCGGGAGGAAUACCAGUGGCGAAGGCGGCCUUCUGGACUGACACUGACACUGAGGUGCGAAAGCGUGGGUAGCAAACAGGAUUAGAUACCCUAGUAGUC